CCUACGGGAGGCAGCAGUGGGGAAUAUUGGGCAAUGGGCGCAAGCCUGAACCAGCAACGCCGCGUGCAGGAAGAAGGCUUUCGGGGUGUAAACUUCUUUUGACAGGGGAGAGCAGAAGACGGUACCUGUCGAAUAAGCCACGGCUAACUACGUGCCAGCAGCCGCGGUAAUACGUAGGUGGCAAGCGUUGUCCGGAUUUACUGGGUGUAAAGGGCGUGUAGCCGGGCUGACAAGUCAGAUGUGAAAUCCGGGGGCUCAACCCCCGAACUGCAUUUGAAACUGUUGGUCUUGAGUAUCGGAGAGGCAGGCGGAAUUCCUAGUGUAGCGGUGAAAUGCGUAGAUAUUAGGAGGAACACCAGUGGCGAAGGCGGCCUGCUGGACGACAACUGACGGUGAGGCGCGAAAGCGUGGGGAGCAAACAGGAUUAGAUACCCUUGUAGUC
RNAcentral lists this ribosomal RNA (442 nucleotides) under uncultured bacterium. Its description in RNAcentral is "partial 16S ribosomal RNA". It matches the Rfam family "Bacterial small subunit ribosomal RNA", at positions 338 to 795 of the family's 1533-position model. The record is from RNAcentral.